Molecule: non-coding RNA, 1722 nt
Organism: Phascolarctos cinereus (koala)
Lineage: Eukaryota; Metazoa; Chordata; Mammalia; Diprotodontia; Phascolarctidae
Source: RefSeq, a predicted model, not a curated record
AGCACAAGAAAAAUCCCUAACGCCCUUUGCCACAGUCCCAUCAUUUGGGAAGCUGGAAUUAUUUUCUUUUUCGGGUUGUCUUGGGUCAGGCCUAUGAUUUCAGCCAUGUAGAGAAGAGCCAGCAUGGAAACUCUCUCUUUUCUGGCAGAUCCCUCUCUCUGAGUGACACAUUUGGCUCUUCUAGUCUUAGCUUCCUGAAGUGGUGAGAAGUUAAUUGACUUGUCUAUGGCUGCACAGCUAAGAGGGGAGGAAACUAAGGACCAGGAAGCUAAUUGACAUGUCCGUGAAGGACGGCAGAGCUCUAGGCCAUAACUCAGCUGCCUACUUACCUUGGAAGUUCCGUCAUAUCUGUGGCCUUUGCAUGCGUGGAGCAUUCCUCUACUCCCAUGGCUUUCUUCUCUGAUUGGAGGAGGAGGAGAAAAUAGAAGAUGAAGUCUCAUCCAAACCCAAGUCUGUGCUGGCUACUUCUUCUGACUUUGUGGCUGUUUUUCUUUCUAUAUGAAAGGAAUGCUAAAGGAACGAUCAAUGGACAGGAAACCAAUAAAUACUCCAAUUGGCUUGGUCAAGUCUGCUGCUGGCCAUGGGAGAAGGAAUACCCAGCCUGGCUUGUUUGGAUAAUAGUCGUUCUGCUUUGGACACUUCAGGAUCUACCGGUUUUAGUGCCUUCGGCUGCCACACUUUAGUCAAAGUUCUUCAUAGGAGCUGCUUUCAACACUGAGAUUCUCACAUGUGGUCAAGGAGCAGGCCUCCUUUGAAAGAGGGUCAGGGUGCAGAGAUAAGUAAAAUGUAAUGAAGCUGAACCAUGGUGGGAGAAGCACAGUGCAAUGCCAAAAGUGUGGCCUGAGAGUGACUUGAUUUGAGUUGGAAUUCUGGCUCUUCUCCAAGGGACUCUGGGCAAGUCAUUUCCCCCAUUCUGGGAUGGAAUAUCCUUAUUUGUAAAAUCUGAGGAUUGUUCUAGCUCUUGUGGUUCUACAAUUAGGUUAGACGCAAUAAAGAUAAUGAAAGGAUUCUUAAUAAAAGACAAUAGGGAACAUUUCCUAUUAAUGACAUUAAUUAAUUAAUGACAUCCCCAAAAGAAGGAUUCCUGGCCAGGAUAGGCUUGGAAAGCUAGAAGAGCUUCUAGUGCACAGACUAGAGCUUAGAGGUAUUGAUCUUCCAGGGGCUCUGGAAUAGUCUAUGUUACCUCCUUGGAAGUUAGGACCAAGCCCAACCAAAGUAAUGGAAUGAGUCCUACUCCUAGCUUGUAUUUAUAGCUAGCUAGCAUUUAUAAAGCACUUUAAGAUUUGCAAAGUGCUUCACAAAUCUUACUUUAUUUAAUCCUUAUAAGAAUCCCCAGAGGUAGGUUCUGUUAUUAUCUCCAUUUUAAGGUUGAGGAAACUGAGGCAGACAGCAUUUGAGUGACUUGCUUAGAGUCACACAGCUAAUAAAGUGUCUGAAGUCUAACUACACGACUGUUCAUUUGCUUCUCUCCUGGUUCAUGUGUGCACAUGCUGGCGACUUAGAAUUGUAGUUGACCAUUAGAGCUAGAAAGGACCAUAGAGAUCAUAUUAAGUCACAAGAGCACAGAUUUAGGGGAAGCAGCACGACACGGUGGAUCGAGUACUGGAGUUGGAACUAGGAAUUCCUGGGUUCAAAUUCUGCCUCAAUUACUUUGUAGCUGUGUAAUCCCAGGCAAGUUACUUAACUCCUCAGGUUUCCUCCUCUGUAAAAAGUGGAUAACAA